UGUCACUUCGCUUGGACUUUCAGUGGAAAAAGUUAAGUUCCGUGUGCGUUCUCUAAUUUUCACUGAAUAAUCACAGAAAAAGGCUUCUGAGGACCGCAGAAAUGUCACGCUAUCGCGAAUGGGAUCUUCAGUGCAAAGUCUACGUGGGCAACUUGGGCUCUUCGGCGUCCAAGCACGAGAUCGAGAGUGCUUUUGGAAAGUAUGGUCCGCUGAGAAACGUCUGGGUGGCGAGAAACCCGCCGGGCUUCGCCUUCGUGGAAUUCGAAGACAGACGCGAUGCUGAAGACGCGGUUCGCGGUCUGGACGGAACGCGCUGCUGUGGAACUCGCAUUCGCGUGGAGAUGUCUUCGGGGCGCUCUCGUCGGGAUGAUCGUCGCCGCGGACGCAAUAGGUACAGGGGCAGGAUGCUCUCUUCCAUGAUCCACAACCACCACAAUCAUCACAACAUCCACAAGUACACAUCUACCGUAGCUACAAUUGCCAAACUACUUUCUCGCCUUUUCCUCCCACUCUUCGCGAUCACCUGAAGAAGUGGCCACACAAUCUUUGGGAUUUUGGGCAUCCUCAUCUCUUCUCGGCCACUCGUCGACAAUUGCGCGCACUUUCACUGCGCGUCGCCUCGUCCUUCGGCUGGCGUGUGUCGACUGGAACACAUCCUCCGGCUCUUCUAUUGUCUUCCCGGCAGCGCAAUCCUCUUGUCACUUCCCUCAGCGACAAAGCCUCAUCCACAAAACAAGCUCAUCAAAUCGCGGCACAGCGCAAUUUUGAUUCGUAAUUUUUACUUUACGAUUAAUGCCUUCUCCAUUUUGACAAAUGAAAAUGAUGAAGCGAAAGUUAGUCAAUUUGUUUGAUGUGCCACGAAUUGAUGGAGAGAAAAAGAAAAACCUUCAGUGCAUGAAACUUCCUACCAACCAUCAUAAUCAUCAUGUGUUUGCAAAAUGUGGCCCCAAAUGAAAAAUUGGGGAAGGGCGCCAAGAUACACACAACCCAACCCGAUCGGCGAGCCAAAAUCUCCUCCUCAACCUUUUGCUCCACUUCAAACUUCGAGGAGAAAUUGCUUCGACCGGCCAAAUUGUGUCUAAAAAAAAGCACCGCGCGCCAUCAGCGAAUCCCUCCGUUUCACCAUCUCACCAAUCGACCAACCAACCAACCUCAGAGUGCUCAACAACACAUCUCUUCUACACGUCUCCGCUUCGCACGCGCGCAAUGUCCAGCGAAAGACUUGUUAGCAAAAUCCAACCCCGAUUCGACUUCUCGUCUUCUUGACCCGCACCAAAAAAAACCAACCAAUCUAAACAUUCAUCUCGUCUCAUCUCAACGCUCUCAAUUGUCACAAAAAAAAAAUCUCCUACAACGCACCGAAAUCAGAAAAAAAUGGUCUCUCGAUCAAAUUGGCAGUCAAAGAGAGAGCGAAAAAAAAAACUGAAUGCUUGACUCGAUUUCCGAUCAACAACUAUACUACUCUUCUGCUAUUUUGCCAUACUACCUUCUACUACCAACUACUACAUCGUUAUCAGCCACGGCAUCAUUUAGUGGUCACGAUCUCCGCGCCGCUCAAGGACACGCUCGAGGAGCCUCUCGCCGCGCGACCGCCGCAGCCGAUCAGACUCGCGCGAUCGCCGCUAAGGAGAAAGGACAUUUUGCACUGCUGAUGAAGAUGAAGAAAAAAACAGAAGUGUUUUCCUUUCUACGGUAUAAUUAUACAUUAAUUCUUUUCUAAGGAAAUCAAUAGAUUACAUGAGUAACUUUUAAGGUGAUGCCUCUUUAUUUUUGAACAAUGAUUUGAACUUUGUGUGAAAGAGGGAAGAAGGAAAUACAAAACAUCUCAAAGUAAAAAAUUAGAUUGAGAAAGCAAAAUCAUUCCCACGCAUUGUCCUCUUUUUUUUUGUCAUAAUAAUUUAAAAACGAAAAAGAAAAAGAACGAAAAAAAAGAUAAAUUACUGUCCCUGAUAAAGUUUCAUGCUUGAAUUUAUCACUACAUGAUCUUUUAUGGUACUUUGAGAUGAAUAAAAACUGUUGUAGAGCCAUAGAA
Phlebotomus argentipes is the source of this 2032-nucleotide RNA transcript. It is a transcript of the gene named RNA-binding protein 1, with no coding region annotated. The record is from RefSeq and is a predicted model, not a curated record. The transcript has 5 exons. NCBI's taxonomy places the organism in Eukaryota, Metazoa, Arthropoda, Insecta, Diptera, Psychodidae.